This 60-nucleotide transfer RNA is filed under the name Micromonospora kangleipakensis. RNAcentral describes it as "tRNA-Arg". The record is from RNAcentral. Lineage: Bacteria; Bacillati; Actinomycetota; Actinomycetes; Micromonosporales; Micromonosporaceae.
GUGGUCAUCGCCAUCUGACUACGGAUCAGAAGGUUAGGGGUUCGAGUCCCUUCGGCCACC